This 253-nucleotide ribosomal RNA is filed under the name uncultured bacterium. RNAcentral's name for it is "partial 16S ribosomal RNA". It matches the Rfam family "Bacterial small subunit ribosomal RNA", at positions 524 to 776 of the family's 1533-position model. The record is from RNAcentral.
CACGUAGGGGACGAGCGUUGUCCGGAUUCAUUGGGCGUAAAGCGUGCGCAGGCGGCUUUGCAAGACAGAUGUGAAAUCCCCGGGCUCAACCUGGGAACUGCAUUUGUGACUGCAAGGCUAGAGUACGGUAGAGGGGGAUGGAAUUCCGCGUGUAGCAGUGAAAUGCGUAGAUAUGCGGAGGAACACCGAUGGCGAAGGCAAUCCCCUGGACCUGUACUGACGCUCAUGCACGAAAGCGUGGGGAGCAAACAGG